RNAcentral lists this ribosomal RNA (506 nucleotides) under uncultured bacterium. RNAcentral describes it as "partial 16S ribosomal RNA". It matches the Rfam family "Bacterial small subunit ribosomal RNA", at positions 29 to 523 of the family's 1533-position model. The record is from RNAcentral.
AGUGAACGCUGGCGGUAGGCCUAACACAUGCAAGUCGAACGGCAGCACAGGAGAGCUUGCUCUCUGGGUGGCGAGUGGCGGACAGGUGAGGAAUACAUCGGAAUCUACUCUGUCGUGGGGGAUAACGUAGGGAAACUUACGCUAAUACCGCAUACGACCUACGGGUGAAAGCAGGGGAUCUUCGGACCUUGCGCGAUUGAAUGAGCCGAUGUCGGAUUAGCUAGUUGGCGGGGUAAAGGCCCACCAAGGCGACGAUCCGUAGCUGGUCUGAGAGGAUGAUCAGCCACACUGGAACUGAGACACGGUCCAGACUCCUACGGGAGGCAGCAGUGGGGAAUAGUGGACAAUGGGCGCAAGCCUGAUCCAGCCAUACCGCGUGGGUGAAGAAGGCCUUCGGGUCGUAAAGCCCUUUUGUUGGGAAAGAAAUCCAGCUGGCUAAUACCCGGUUGGGAUGACGGUACCCAAAGAAUAAGCACCGGCUAACUUCGUGCCAGCCGCCGCCGUAA